AUACGUAGGGGGCGAGCGUUGUCCGGAAUGAUUGGGCGUAAAGGGCGCGUAGGCGGCGCGGUAAGUCUGGAGUGAAAGUCCUGCUUUCAAGAUGGGACUUGCUUUGGAUACUGGCGGGUUUGAGUGCUGGGGAGGGGAUUGGGAAUUCCCGUGGUGGGGUGAAACGCGUAGAGAUCGGGAGGAACAACAGUGGCGAAGGCGGGUAACUGGACUGCAACUGACGCUGAGGCGCGAAAGUGUGGGGAGCAAACAGGAUUAGAUACCCUGGUAGUCCACACUGUAAACGAUGAAUGCUAGGUGUAAGAGGUAUCGACCCCUUUUGUGCCGGAGUCAACACAAUAAGCAUUCCGCCUGGGGAGUACGGCCGCAAGGUUGAAACUCAAAGGAAUUGACGGGG
Molecule: ribosomal RNA, 397 nt
Filed under: uncultured bacterium
Lineage: Bacteria
Description: partial 16S ribosomal RNA
Rfam family: Bacterial small subunit ribosomal RNA
Source: RNAcentral